UCCACAAUCAUAUAAAUGAUUUUGUCUAUAG
RNAcentral lists this non-coding RNA (31 nucleotides) under Mus musculus (house mouse). The record is from RNAcentral. Lineage: Eukaryota; Metazoa; Chordata; Mammalia; Rodentia; Muridae.